GAUGAACGCUGGCGGCGUGCUUAACACAUGCAAGUCGAACGGACAGGCCCUGCUUUUGUUGGUUGCUCGAGUGCCGAACGCGUGAGUAACACGUGAGUAUCCUCUCCUUAUCAUUGGGAUAUAUUCAGGAAACUCGGGCUCAUACCCGAUAUGAGAUCCUGCAGCAUGGUGGGGAUUGGAAAGUUUCGGCUGUUGGGGAUGGACUCGCGGCUUAUCAGCUUGUUGGUGGGGUAGUGGCUGACCAAGGCUUUGACGGCUAGCCGGCCUGAGAAGGUGACCGGCGACAAGGGUACUGAGGGACGGACCAGACGCGUACGGGAGGCAGCAGGGGAGAAUAUGGCGCAGUAGGCGGAAGCCAGAGGCAGCAACGCCGCGUGCGGGAUGAUGUGUUAUUAGGGGAAAACCGAUUUCUCCGUAGACAAAGCGGUAGUGACGGUAAUUGGUAAAGAAGCAACGGCUAACUACGUG
RNAcentral lists this ribosomal RNA (468 nucleotides) under uncultured bacterium. Its description in RNAcentral is "partial 16S ribosomal RNA". It matches the Rfam family "Bacterial small subunit ribosomal RNA", at positions 28 to 507 of the family's 1533-position model. The record is from RNAcentral.